Molecule: ribosomal RNA, 851 nt
Filed under: uncultured bacterium
Lineage: Bacteria
Description: bacterial SSU rRNA
Rfam family: Bacterial small subunit ribosomal RNA
Source: RNAcentral
GCUACCUGCAGUCGACGGGCACUUCGGUGCUAGUGGCAGACGGGUGAGUAACACGUGGGAACGUACCUUUCGGUUCGGAAUAAUCCAGGGAAACUUGGACUAAUACCGGAUACGCCCUUCGGGGGAAAGAUUCAUCGCCGAUAGAUCGGCCCGCGUCUGAUUAGCUAGUUGGUGAGGUAACGGCUCACCAAGGCGACGAUCAGUAGCUGGUCUGAGAGGAUGAUCAGCCACAUUGGGACUGAGACACGGCCCAAACUCCUACGGGAGGCAGCAGUGGGGAAUAUUGGACAAUGGGCGCAAGCCUGAUCCAGCCAUGCCGCGUGAGUGAUGAAGGCCUUAGGGUUGUAAAGCUCUUUUGUCCGGGAAGAUAAUGACUGUACCGGAAGAAUAAGCCCCGGCUAACUUCGUGCCUGCAGCCGCGGUAAUACGAAGGGGGCUAGCGUUGCUCGGAAUCACUGGGCGUAAAGGGCGCGUAGGCGGACUCUUAAGUCGGGGGUGAAAGCCCAGGGCUCAACCCUGGAAUUGCCUUCGAUACUGAGAGUCUUGAGUUCGGAAGAGGUUGGUGGAACUGCGAGUGUAGAGGUGAAAUUCGUAGAUAUUCGCAAGAACACCAGUGGCGAAGGCGGCCACUGGUCCGAUACUGACCCUGAAGCGCGAAGCGUGGGGAGCAAACAGGAUUAGAUACCCUGGUAUCCACCCCGUAAACGAUGAAUGCCAGCCGUUGGGUGCAUGCACUUCAGUGGCGCAGCUAACCCUUUAAGCAUUCCGCCUGGGGAGUACGGUCGCAAGAUUAAAACUCAAAGGAAUUGACGGGGGCCCCCCCAAGCGGUGGAACAUUUGGUUUAAUUUCA